AUUGAACGCUGGCGGCAGGCCUAACACAUGCAAGUCGAGCGAGCGGCGGACGGGUGAGUAAUGUCUGGGAAACUGCCUGAUGGAGGGGGAUCACUACUGGAAACGGUAGCUAAUACCGCAUACCAUCAGCUUUGCCCAGAUGGGAUUAGCUAGUAGGUGGGGUAACGGCUCACCUAGCCCACGAUCCCUCUCUGGUCUGAGAGGAUGACCAGCCACACUGGAACUGAGACACGGUCCAGACUCCUACGGGAGGCAGCAGUGGGGAAUAUUGCACAAUGGGCGCAAGCCUGAUGCAGCCAUGCCGCGUGUGUGAAGAAGGCCUUCGGGUUGUAAAGCACUUUCAGCGGGGAGGCGUUACCCGCAGAAGAAGCACCGGCUAACUCCGUGCCAGCAGCCGCGGUAAUUC
This 406-nucleotide ribosomal RNA is filed under the name uncultured bacterium. RNAcentral's name for it is "partial 16S ribosomal RNA". It matches the Rfam family "Bacterial small subunit ribosomal RNA", at positions 30 to 526 of the family's 1533-position model. The record is from RNAcentral.